CGGCGGACGGGUGAGUAACACGUGGAUAACCUACCUAUAAGACUGGGAUAACUUCGGGAAACCGGAGCUAAUACCGGAUAAUAUAUUGAACCGCAUGGUUCAAUAGUGAAAGACGGUUUUGCUGUCACUUAUAGAUGGAUCCGCGCCGCAUUAGCUAGUUGGUAAGGUAACGGCUUACCAAGGCAACGAUGCGUAGCCGACCUGAGAGGGUGAUCGGCUACACUGGAACUGAGACACGGUCCAG
This 244-nucleotide ribosomal RNA is filed under the name uncultured Staphylococcus sp. RNAcentral's name for it is "partial 16S ribosomal RNA". It matches the Rfam family "Bacterial small subunit ribosomal RNA", at positions 96 to 334 of the family's 1533-position model. Lineage: Bacteria; Bacillati; Bacillota; Bacilli; Caryophanales; Staphylococcaceae. The record is from RNAcentral.